This 225-nucleotide unclassified non-coding RNA is filed under the name soil metagenome. RNAcentral describes it as "partial internal transcribed spacer 1". The record is from RNAcentral.
CCGAAAUUUAAAACUCACAAACGCGAGUCUCGUGCGGAAGCAAAUAUGACUGCCGAGACUUUGUGACUCUUCAAGUUUUCCUUUGCUCAAGUCAAACCACACUCGUGAAGCACAUGUGACGAGUCUGUGGUGAGCAUCGGGAGCACUGCGUUUCCUUCGGGAUUCACAGUCUAAAAAACGAAUUGUAAAAGUAUAUAUAUAUAAACAAAAAAAGACGAAAAAAAU